CGGGAAAUAGCUCAACUUGGUAGAGCACUUGGUUCGGGACCAAGAGGUUGCAGGUUCAAAUCCUGUUUUUCCGACCA
This 77-nucleotide transfer RNA is filed under the name Acholeplasma sp. RNAcentral describes it as "tRNA-Pro". It matches the Rfam family "tRNA". Rfam says of the family: Transfer RNA (tRNA) molecules are approximately 80 nucleotides in length. Lineage: Bacteria; Bacillati; Mycoplasmatota; Mollicutes; Acholeplasmatales; Acholeplasmataceae. RNAcentral also lists the same sequence under 2 other names. The record is from RNAcentral.